GCUGGGUGUGGUAGCUCACACCUGUAAUCCCAGCACUUUUGGAGGCUGAGGUGGGAAGAUCACCUGAGGUCAGGAGUUCAAGACCAGCCUGACCAACAUGGUGAAAACCCAUCUCUA
RNAcentral lists this small RNA (117 nucleotides) under Macaca fascicularis (crab-eating macaque). Its description in RNAcentral is "Metazoan signal recognition particle RNA (ENSMFAG00000049528.1)". Lineage: Eukaryota; Metazoa; Chordata; Mammalia; Primates; Cercopithecidae. The record is from Rfam by way of RNAcentral.